GGGCCCGCACAAGCGGUGGAGUAUGUGGUUUAAUUCGAUGCAACGCGAAAAACCUUACCUACCCUUGACAUGUCAGGAAUUUUGCAGAGAUGCGAAAGUGCUCGAAAGAGAACCUGAACACAGGUGCUGCAUGGCUGUCGUCAGCUCGUGUCGUGAGAUGUUGGGUUAAGUCCCGCAACGAGCGCAACCCUUGUCAUUAGUUGCUACGCAAGGGCACUCUAAUGAGACUGCCGGUGACAAACCGGAGGAAGGUGGGGACGACGUCAAGUCCUCAUGGCCCUUAUGGGUAGGGCUUCACACGUCAUACAAUGGUUGGUACAGAGGGUUGCGAACCCGCGAGGGGAAGCUAAUCCCAAAAACCAAUCGUAGUCCGGAUUGCAGUCUGCAACUCGACUGCAUGAAGUCGGAAUCGCUAGUAAUCG
This 422-nucleotide ribosomal RNA is filed under the name uncultured bacterium. RNAcentral's name for it is "bacterial SSU rRNA". It matches the Rfam family "Bacterial small subunit ribosomal RNA", at positions 917 to 1344 of the family's 1533-position model. The record is from RNAcentral.